Molecule: ribosomal RNA, 446 nt
Filed under: uncultured bacterium
Lineage: Bacteria
Description: SSU rRNA
Rfam family: Bacterial small subunit ribosomal RNA
Source: RNAcentral
AGAGCGAACGCUGGCGGCAGGCUUAACACAUGCAAGUCGAGCGGGCGUAGCAAUACGUCAGCGGCAGACGGGUGAGUAACGCGUGGGAACGUACCUUUGGUUCGGAACAACACAGGGAAACUUGUGCUAAUACCGGAUAAGCCCUUACGGGGAAAGAUUUAUCGCCGAAAGAUCGGCCCGCGUCUGAUUAGCUAGUUGGUGAGGUAAUGGCUCACCAAGGCGACGAUCAGUAGCUGGUCUGAGAGGAUGAUCAGCCACAUUGGGACUGAGACACGGCCCAAACUCCUACGGGAGGCAGCAGUGGGGAAUAUUGGACAAUGGGCGCAAGCCUGAUCCAGCCAUGCCGCGUGAGUGAUGAAGGCCCUAGGGUUGUAAAGCUCUUUUGUGCGGGAAGAUAAUGACGGUACCGCAAGAAUAAGCCCGGCUAACUUCGUGCCAGCAGCCGC